UAGGGAAUCUUCGGCAAUGGGGGGAACCCUGACCGAGCAACGCCGCGUGAGUGAAGAAGGUUUUCGGAUCGUAAAGCUCUGUUGUUAAGGAAGAACGAGUGUGAGAAUGGAAAGUUUAUGCUGUGACGGUACUUAACCAGAAAGGGACGGCUAACUACGUGCCAGCAGCCGCGGUAAUACGUAGGUCCCGAGCGUUGUCCGGAUUUAUUGGGCGUAAAGCGAGCGCAGGCGGUUAGAAAAGUCUGAAGUGAAAGGCAGUGGCUCAACCAUUGUAGGCUUUGGAAACUGUUUAACUUGAGUGCAGAAGGGGAGAGUGGAAUUCCAUGUGUAGCGGUGAAAUGCGUAGAUAUAUGGAGGAACACCGGUGGCGAAAGCGGCUCUCUGGUCUGUAACUGACGCUGAGGCUCGAAAGCGUGGGGAGCGAACAGG
Molecule: ribosomal RNA, 429 nt
Filed under: Bacteroidota bacterium
Lineage: Bacteria; Pseudomonadati; Bacteroidota
Description: Bacteroidetes bacterium partial 16S ribosomal RNA
Rfam family: Bacterial small subunit ribosomal RNA
Source: RNAcentral